UAGGGAAUCUUCCGCAAUGGGCGAAAGCCUGACGGAGCAACGCCGCGUGAGUGAUGAAGGUCUUCGGAUCGUAAAACUCUGUUAUUAGGGAAGAACAUAUGUGUAAGUAACUGUGCACAUCUUGACGGUACCUAAUCAGAAAGCCACGGCUAACUACGUGCCAGCAGCCGCGGUAAUACGUAGGUGGCAAGCGUUAUCCGGAAUUAUUGGGCGUAAAGCGCGCGUAGGCGGUUUUUUAAGUCUGAUGUGAAAGCCCACGGCUCAACCGUGGAGGGUCAUUGAAAACUGGAAAACUUGAGUGCAGAAGAGGAAAGUGGAAUUCCAUGUGUAGCGGUGAAAUGCGCAGAGAUAUGGAGGAACACCAGUGGCGAAGGCGACUUUCUGGUCUGUAACUGACGCUGAUGUGCGAAAGCGUGGGGAUCAAACAGGAUUAGAUACCCUGGUAGUCCACGCCGUAAACGAUGAGUGCUAAGUGUUAGGGGGUUUCCGCCCCUUAGUGCUGCAGCUAACGCAUUAAGCACUCCGCCUGGGGAGUACGACCGCAAGGUUG
RNAcentral lists this ribosomal RNA (550 nucleotides) under uncultured bacterium. Its description in RNAcentral is "bacterial SSU rRNA". It matches the Rfam family "Bacterial small subunit ribosomal RNA", at positions 355 to 896 of the family's 1533-position model. The record is from RNAcentral.